RNAcentral lists this long non-coding RNA (1269 nucleotides) under Triticum aestivum (bread wheat). RNAcentral's name for it is "long non-coding RNA (TAES_LNC022501)". The record is from RNAcentral. Lineage: Eukaryota; Viridiplantae; Streptophyta; Magnoliopsida; Poales; Poaceae.
CGCCUCGCGAUGGGUGCCACCUCCGCCGUCGUCGAUCCGGCCGUCUCGGCUCUGCGCCAGGUCCACCCCAAAGAAACCCCUCCCGUAUCCACUUCCCCCGCUCCUAUGCGGCAGCCUCUCGGUGUAUCAGCGGGCGAUGGAGCUUCCUCUUCCCCGCCCUAUUCACCCCGUUCCGGCGUUCGUGACCUCUUCACACGGAAUCGCAGGCGAGACUGGUGACGACCUUGAACCUGGUACGUGUGCUACGCCAUCCCUUCGGAAUGUCACAUUCAGUUACAUUCUAGCACAUUCAGAGAUUGAAUGAAGCUCCAAAACAAUGGAAAUCAUACACCAUUCAUACCAAACUACAGGUGCGAUAACAUUGCCCAGCAGUCUGUAGGUUGGCUUCCUUGCCUCUGUUCAAUUUCGGGUUUGUGCGUGUGUUUGGGCACAUUAUGAUUGGUACAAGCCCUCUUUUCAGUUACUUCACCACUUUCUUUAGGUUCAAAUUCUGUUAUUAUAUAACAUUCUUUAGAACUGAGUAGGAUUCAGGAUCGUUGUUAUUUCAUAUUGACUUUCUGAUGUGUCUUCUCUUUCCCUGAAGGUGGAGUUCUUGUUCUUCCUCUGAUGGUUUACUCUUAACUGCUUAUGGAGAUGCAUAUAAGUUACAAACAACCCAGACAGUGAACAAUAUGUGUGUUGAGUUCAUAUUUAGUUAUAUAGUGAGAUUUUACCCAUUUUUCCAAGUGUUAUUUGCCGAUAGAAAAUUAAUCAGUGCUUUCAUGGCUACUCCUGCAGUCCUAGCUCAUGAGAAAAGCCAUAUUCGUUCUCACACAAUGAUACAAUGCAAUCCCAGCCACAGUUGGAGGAUUAGACCCAAAAGUACCCAUUGUCAUGCUUUCAUGUACGUAGAUUCAACUUCAUUGUGGAUAUGUGUUUCUAUUUUUUCCGGUUUAUGGUAGCUAAUGUGUGAGGCUCUGUGAACAAUCCAUCCAUUUGGAGUGUAUUAGACGAACAACCCAAUAAUGGCUGGAGUAUGUAACGCCCUAACCAAGGUGCUAUCUCACGAUUUCUUUUCUUUCUCUUGGUACUACAAAUCUGGUUGUGAUGAAGCUUCCUAAGAAUUAUAUAUUCCGCUUUCCGCACCGAGGGAUCUAAGAACAAGUGACUAAUUUCUUUAUGUGUGUUAUUAUGUUUGGACGAUAAUGAUACCUUGUUGAUCAUAGAUUGUUCAUUCUUAUCCAGCAGUAUACUCUACCAUUUGUAUACCCUUUUGAAAAAAAAAUAGAU